UGUUCUUGGUCUGGUCCGGAAGGUUCCAAAUAGGUGUCUGGUCUCUGGGGAAUCUUUUUGCCAGACACCUGGACACAAGAGGAAGAGGGUUAGAAAAAAAUACAUUACACCACUCUAAAACCCUUUAAAACAUACCACAUACAUUACACACUGACACUUAAAAGAUAUCACCAAAAUUACAUUCAUCAUUCUUAUUUCUACAGGCUGGAGCCUGGGGAUGUGCAAAUUAGUAAAAACUUUAAAGUGCAGUGUGCCAUCCAAAGUGCUAUGUGCAUGUUCAAGCGUUUCAGAUUUAUGAUGAAGUGAGCAUGUGGGCUAGUGCCAUGUUUGGAGGCCUACACACUUUAAAUUUUGCAAUUGCAAAUUACAAGAUGGUAAAGUUGUCAAGUCUUCUCAGCACUAAGAAGUUCCUCUUGGGCUGUCUUGGGUGAACUACAUGCCAGAGAUCUCC
This is a long non-coding RNA of Fundulus heteroclitus (mummichog), 451 nucleotides long. RefSeq lists it as uncharacterized. NCBI's taxonomy places the organism in Eukaryota, Metazoa, Chordata, Actinopteri, Cyprinodontiformes, Fundulidae. The record is from RefSeq and is a predicted model, not a curated record. The transcript has 3 exons.